Molecule: long non-coding RNA, 3561 nt
Filed under: Ananas comosus (pineapple)
Lineage: Eukaryota; Viridiplantae; Streptophyta; Magnoliopsida; Poales; Bromeliaceae
Description: long non-coding RNA (ACOM_LNC003637)
Source: RNAcentral
UAACCCCCAAUUUAUACCCAAACACCACUCUUUUGGGAUGGGGUUAGUAAACUCCACCCCAAACCGGGUUAGUGGGGUUUACUAACCCCACUCCCCCUCCCAACUUUAACUCCGCACGCAUUCCGAGCCCUCACCUUUUUCUUCUUUAUCAAUCAUUAACCCCACUCCCUCUCCCAACUUUAACCCCGCACGCAUCCCGAGCUCUCACAUUUUUCUUCUUUAUCAAUCAUUAUCUUUUUAUCCCACCUACUCCAACCAAACACUUUUUUUCACUAUCCUAGACUAACUCCAACCUCCAACCAAACACAAAAAAAUUUUAACACUAUUUUAACCCUGAACUUAACCCUAUCCCUAGAAUAGCUAUUUUUUCUUAACCCCGAACCAAACGGGGGCUAAGUGCCUAUUUUGGCAAACUGUAAAAAAAAAUAAUAAAAAGAAAAUACUGUUACAGAAGUAUUGAAUUGUUUGAAAAAGUUGUGAAAAUAUUUGAUAAAUCUGUAGUAUAAAUAUUUUUUUUAAUAGAAUGUUGUUUGGCUAAUAUUUUUUUUGUAAAGUGUUGUGAAAUAUUUUAAAUUGAUAAAAUUCUAUAAAACUUUAUUUCUAAUCUUUUUAAUUAAAUUAUAUUUAAAAUAUUUAAUAGAAAAUAUAUACUUAAAAAAUGAUCUAAUCAGAAAAGUUCUACUUAUGGGUAAACUUUAAACUUUUGAUAAACUUCAAAUUCCACCAAUAUAGUUUAACUCGUUUUCAUUUUGUCACCUUGUGAUUCAAAAGAAUGCACUUUGCCCUUAUAUUUAUAUUUAUAUAUUGUUGAUACCAAAAUUGAGCCGACCUAACCCACGUAUGAAUCAAUAAGGACACGUGGUAUACCAGGAGUCGGCAAUAAGGCGCCUUAAGGACAAAAAGGCAGGAACGGUUGAAGAUUGGGGCGUAACUUCCAUGGGGAGUUAGCGUAACUUCCAUGAGAAGUUAGUAUAACUUCCACGAUCAUGGUUACAACCACUCCCCCCAACUUCUUUCAACCAACUAAUAAUGUGGGCUAUAAAUAGUAACUUUGAAGCCUGCAAUAGGGGUCUUCGCCCCUGCGCACAAAAGAUCACUUUUAUUUUCCUGCAUUUUUCUUUCUCGCAUUUACUGUUUUCCUAGGAGUAGUUCCUGUAACUUAGCAUCCUGGAGUCUGUCUGCCCCUCAGGCAUCACUCCGUUGUAGACUAAAAAUCCAUCUCCCUGUAAUUUCCUUGGUUUUAUUUAAUAGAAAGUCAUUUUCGGCUCUUCAGGCCGACCAGAUCUCGAGUUGUCCUGGCCAUUCGGCUAUUCUCUCUGCCCACUUUCUGGCUUGUUUCGAGGAUUCGGCUCAUCCCAGCCGAACCGAUUAUACUAUAGAGGUUUUCGAACCCGGCUGAUCUGAUCUCUCAUCAGCCGAAUCGCUUGAUCUGUCGAAGGGCGCAAACUUCGAGGGUCACUAUUCGCAUUCGCAGCCGUUUCGCAUCCCGACGCGCUUCCCGAGGAAGAUCUUUGACCGGGUUAAGGGUCGGGGAAUUUCGGCUCCAACAAUUUUUUGGCACGCCCGGUGAAACACAUUUUUAGGUAAAUUUAUAUUUUACAUAAAUUAUGGCUGAUGAUCUACAUAAUAGGGUUGUUCCUAAAAAUUCUGGGAGUGAUCAACUUAGUGAUUCAGACAAUGCUGGCGAAUGUCAAGCAGUAUUGCCAGUUGAAGGAGAAACUAGUGGACAGUCGGCUCAUCAAGAGCCGAGUCUAACUCAGGCACUUGGCCAGAUGAGCCGAGUCCUGUAAACUUUAGAUCAAAAUAUCCAUCAAAGUACCGCUCGACUAGACGCGGUGCUGGCCGCUAUCACGGCCUAUAAUGAAAAUAUUGUUCGAAUCAGACAAUUAUUUACCCGAAACGAGCAACCUUAUGGGGGGCAACAAGGGCCCCUAAAUGUGCCGGUGCAACAAAAUCCACUCACGCCGGCGGUCUCACAGGUGCAAUCGCAAAUGUCACCUUUCCAGACUGCUUAUAGGACGACGAAUAUCAACACCGGCCCGCAGUCGGAGAUUGCAUCAGGUUUACCUCCUUUACCAGUUUUAUCAGCCCCAAAAUGUAGGGAUUAGGGCUGGGGGGCAAGCCCCUAAUGAUAUACAAGAAGCGAACCCUGCAAUACAGAAUUCUGGAGUUUCUCAAGGGCCAAAUUCGGCUCAAGCACAAGCUCCGCUGUAUACUCAGAUUGAGGAAGCCAUCCGAAAUACUGUUGGAGUAGGCGCAAGGCUGGCAAUGCGGCCUAUAUUUAGAUCACCUUAUCCUACAAAUAUAGACACAGAGCAUCCAUACCCGGCAAACCGAAAAAUGCCGAAGUUUGAUAAAUUUUCUGGGGAUGUGACCAAAAACACGGUCGAAUAUGUGGCACGGUUCACGGCACAGUGCAGGGAAGCCACGACAGAUCCAUUUUUAAAAUUAAGAUUGUUUAACACGUCGUUAACUAAAAUGGUGUUUACUUGGUAUACAAGUUUAUCAGCCAAUUCCGUCCAAGAUUGGGACGAAUUGGAAAGAAAAUUUCAUGAGCGAUUCUAUAGAUCGGAGCCAUAAUUAUCGGUCGCCGAUUUGGCUUUAUACCAACAAAUGUCAGGUGAAACGGUCGAAGAGUAUUUGGACCGUUUCAAAAUAGCCAAAACCCGGUGCUUUAUGAGAAUGCCGGAAUCAGAGUUCGCCCAAAUGGCGUUAAAUGGUCUGCAUUUUAAGAUAAAAGACCAUUUUGAAGAUAAGUAUUUUUCUAGCCUAUUUGAUCUAGGUGUUCGAGUUGCCCAAUACGAGCAAUUUCAGAACAAAAGUGAGAACCAUCGGCUGCAAUUGAGCCGAUAUAAAAGUCAAAGCAAAGGCAAGGAGAAAUUCUUGCUAGAAGAACAGUCGGUUCCAGAAGAGCCGAGCCAAUCGAGUGAAAGUGAAGAAUCGGCUGAUGAAGUCGAUAUAUAGCCACUUUCUUUAAGAAGAAUUUCUUGAUAGAAAAACAUUCGGUUCAAGAAGAGCCGAACUAAUCGAAUAAAAGUAAAGAAUCGGCUGAUGAAGCCGAGAUAUAUGUGGCUGGGAUGAUAGAGCGCCGUUUUCCUAAAGCCGACCAAGACUAGCGAAACUAAAGCUUGGGUCUCGGCUGUGCUUUUGAACAGUCGAUUUGGCACCAAUAAUCAUCCGAAUGUUCAUUCGAAAGACUAUUGGGGGGCAUUAUUGAUACCAAAAUUGAGCCGACCUAAUCCACGUAUGAGCCAAUAAGGACACGUGGUACACCAGGAGUCGGCAAUAAGGCGCCUGAAGGACAAAAAGGCAGGAACGGUUGAAGAUUGGGGCGUAACUUCCAUGAGGAGUUAGCGUAACUUCCAUGAGGAGUUAGUAUAACUUCCACGAUCAUGAUUACAACCACUCCCCCCAACUUCUUUCAACCAAAUAAUAAUGUGGACUAUAAAUAGUAACUUUGAAGCCUGCAAUAGGGGUCUUCACCCCUGCGCACAAAAGACCACUUUUAUUUUUCUGCAUCUUUCUUUCUUGCAUUUUCUGUUUUCCUAGGAGUAGUUCCUG